Molecule: long non-coding RNA, 164 nt
Organism: Cervus elaphus (red deer)
Lineage: Eukaryota; Metazoa; Chordata; Mammalia; Artiodactyla; Cervidae
Exons: 2
Source: RefSeq, a predicted model, not a curated record
UUUUGCAGUCCAGUCCCCUAUAAUGAAAAGGAUAUCUUUUUUGGGUGUUAGUUCUAAAAGGUCUUGUAGGUCUUCAUAGAACCGUUGAACUUCAGCUUUUUCAGCGUUACUGGUUGGGGCGUACACUUGGAUUACUGUUAUAUUGAACGACUUGCCUUGGAAAC